RNAcentral lists this transfer RNA (76 nucleotides) under Candidatus Muproteobacteria bacterium RBG_16_60_9. RNAcentral's name for it is "tRNA-Thr". It matches the Rfam family "tRNA". From Rfam's summary of the family: Transfer RNA (tRNA) molecules are approximately 80 nucleotides in length. Their secondary structure includes four short double-helical elements and three loops (D, anti-codon, and T loops). Further hydrogen bonds mediate the characteristic L-shaped molecular structure. tRNAs have two regions of fundamental functional importance: the anti-codon, which is responsible for specific mRNA codon recognition, and the 3' end, to which the tRNAs corresponding amino acid is attached (by aminoacyl-tRNA synthetases). tRNAs cope with the degeneracy of the genetic code in two manners: having more than one tRNA (with a specific anti-codon) for a particular amino acid; and 'wobble' base-pairing, i.e. permitting non-standard base-pairing at the 3rd anti-codon position. Lineage: Bacteria; Pseudomonadati; Pseudomonadota; Candidatus Muproteobacteria. The record is from RNAcentral.
GCCGGUGUAGCUCAGUUGGUAGAGCAACUGAUUCGUAAUCAGUAGGUCCCCCGUUCGAGUCGGGGCACCGGCACCA